UCCGUAUUGCUCAAUCGUGGUCCGGAAUUAUUGGGCGUAAAGAGCUCGUAGGCGGUUUGUCGCGUCUGCUGUGAAAGCCCGGGGCUCAACCCCGGGUCUGCAGUGGGUACGGGCAGACUAGAGUGCAGUAGGGGAGACUGGAAUUCCUGGUGUAGCGGUGAAAUGCGCAGAUAUCAGGAGGAACACCGAUGGCGAAGGCAGGUCUCUGGGCUGUUACUGACGCUGAGGAGCGAAAGCAUGGGGAGCGAACAGGAUGAGAUACCCGAGUAGUCC
RNAcentral lists this ribosomal RNA (273 nucleotides) under uncultured Kocuria sp. Its description in RNAcentral is "partial 16S ribosomal RNA". It matches the Rfam family "Bacterial small subunit ribosomal RNA", at positions 524 to 796 of the family's 1533-position model. Lineage: Bacteria; Bacillati; Actinomycetota; Actinomycetes; Micrococcales; Micrococcaceae. The record is from RNAcentral.